UAAUAUAUGCAAGUUGCCAAUGAGAUAUUUCUUUCAUACUGCUCAUAAGCCUUGAAUUUUAAGACAGUAUCCUUUCUCAAAAGUUUGGGGCCAGUAAGAUUUUUAAAUGUUUUUUUUUUUUUUUUUGUAUAAGAGUUUAUUGUGUUCACCAAGGCUGCAUGUAUUUGAUCAAAAAUACAGGAAAAUAUUGUAAACAUAUCAUUAGAAAUAAUCAUUUUAAAUAACUGUUUUCUGUCUUAUUCUUUCAUAUUUUAAAGUGUAAUUUAUUCCUGUGAUGACAAAAAUGAAUUUUUAGCAGCCAUUACUGAAAUCCUUCAAAAACCAUUCUAAUAUGCUGAAUUAUUAUUAUUAUAAUUAAUAUUAUUUGCUGAAGUAACAUUUCCUAUUAUUAUUAUCCACAUGGAAAACAGUUGUUCUGCUUAAUCUUUGUGUGGAAUUCAUGAUACAUUUUCCCUAGGAUUUUUAGAUGAAUAGAGAGUUCAAAAGAACAUAAUUUACUUGAAAUAAAAAUCUUUUAUAACAUUAUAAAUAUCUAUACAGUGUAAUUAUUAAUCGAUUUAAUGCAUCAAUGCAAAAUAGAAGUGUUAAUUUCUUACUAAUCCCAAACUUUUAUGCACAGUUUAUCAUAUAAACUACUUUAUAUGCAAUCAAUUAUUACAAUAAUCUGUGAGAUAAUUUGUCAAAAAAUCAAUAUAUUCUUUUAAACGCAGUAUACCUUCCACUGAAGGGAAAUGGCUGUCCACAAGGUGGCGCUACUUAGUUAAUGUACUUAGGCUGAAACAGGGAAUUGUUUUGUUUUAGUGACGGUGGAAAUCCGAGAUGGCUCGCUGGUGUUUUCCUUGCAUGCGUCAGGAUCUCCACAUGGCUUGGCUGGUCACACCACACAGACUAGUUCUCGGGUUGCAAGCUUCCACAAAAACUCCAUCACCCGAGUGCUUUGGAAGUUGUAUGGUCUAAAUGAGAAGGCUGUUUAAUAAUUUACCUGGUGAUAUAUCACGUUCCUCCCAAUUAUAUGGAGACCUAGAAAAUUGGCUGUUCUUUUUGUCCUGAAGGAGAUUGAGAUGGUCUGACAUUAGCAGUUGUAAUUGUUGUAAAGAUGUGCCUUUCACAUAGGCUAUGUCAAAGAAACAUUAGAAUGCUAUACUAUACUUUU
This is a long non-coding RNA of Cyprinus carpio carpio, 1153 nucleotides long. NCBI's taxonomy places the organism in Eukaryota, Metazoa, Chordata, Actinopteri, Cypriniformes, Cyprinidae. The record is from Ensembl.